UACAGAGGUCUCAAGCGUUGUUCGGAUUCAUUGGGCGUAAAGGGUGCGUAGGUGGCGCGCUAAGUCAGGUGUGAAAUUUCGGAGCUUAACUCCGAAACUGCAUUUGAUACUGGUGUGCUUGAGGACUGGAGAGGAGACUGGAAUUUACGGUGUAGCAGUGAAAUGCGUAGAGAUCGUAAGGAAGACCAGUGGCGAAGGCGGGUCUCUGGACAGUUCCUGACGCUGAGGCACGAAGGUCAGGGGAGCAAACGGG
Molecule: ribosomal RNA, 253 nt
Filed under: uncultured bacterium
Lineage: Bacteria
Description: partial 16S ribosomal RNA
Rfam family: Bacterial small subunit ribosomal RNA
Source: RNAcentral